Molecule: unclassified non-coding RNA, 3007 nt
Filed under: Cimex lectularius (bed bug)
Lineage: Eukaryota; Metazoa; Arthropoda; Insecta; Hemiptera; Cimicidae
Description: uncharacterized protein CG5098, transcript variant X2
Source: RNAcentral
UUAAGUCGAAAGUGAUUCGGCCAUCAUGGAGCUAAAGCCAAAUCGUAGUUUGCAUUUUAACCAAGAAUGAGAUUUUUUAUUGGGUUUUAAAUCGAACCUUCGUCAUUGGGCGUCCCUAGACUCGGUUCGAAGGCAUCCCUCAAUAGAAUCGGCAACCCCGUCGGCCGGCUGCCAGGGGAGAGAGACAAUAGAUUUAGUGGUUAGGGAGAAACGCCGGACAGCUGUCAACCCUAAAAAACGCGAGGAUUGUCCAAGAAGUGUCUCGCCGCCACAGACUAUUUCGCAGAUUUCUUGUUUUAAACUGGACCCCGUUCGAGUUUACUCUCGGAAAUACAAAGAAACCCUUAAUGACGCGCCGGUCCUUUUCGAUAUGAUUUCAUCCAGGUGAUGUUGGGGUAAGGUGAUGUCAGACCAAUCAGGCCGGGGGUACUUACCCCCGACAGUACCUACUUCAGGGUCACAUCUGAGGCCAUGGUCGACAUCAAUGCUUCAGCCUCCUUACUUUGGAGCCCAGAAUUGGCAUUCACAAAUCAAGCCUUAUAUGGCGAUCGGCUCUAACAGUCCUCAAUCGGAAGGGAUAGAUUUGUCCUCACGCCCUGAACCUGCUCAUAACGGAGAACCUUUGAAUGGACAAAUCAAAGAAAGUACUGCUGGUGUCAGCGUUAUUGCUCCAAACCCUCUCAUCCAACAGGACGAGGUUAAAGAAGAUAGUGCAUCGCCGAUAGGGAGUAAAGCCCCUUUUGAAAGAGUGUUGUCUGUCGAUUACCUCUCUAACGACAAUAAAAUGCCGGCUUAUCCUUUGGAGUACAAAGGUCAUCCUGCUCACCCUCUACUUCCAAAUAAGGGCCUGGAAGUAGGGAUUCCUUCUCCUGUUGAAAGUAAAGAUAUCCCUGCAGAGAGUAAAGGCACACCUUCUCAUCCGGUUGAAUCAAAAGUCCCUCUUCAAGAGACAUUACCUGACCCUGAAACCCAGAAGACACCUUCUGCCAUUCCCCAACCUCCUGAUUCUGCAAAAACAACCGUAGAACCCGAAGCCAAAGAUGUAUGUCAACCACCAGAAGCGGAUCAUGUAGAAUCUUUGUUAGAAAAUAUGUUUCAAGGGGAAGAAACUCCUGUGAAACAAUCUGUUAUAGUAAAAAAUUCUACGAAGGUUCCUGCUUUAACAGAAGAUAAGGUUGUAGCCAUCUUGGAAGACAAAAAUGAACCUGUUACUUCUCUUAAAGCUAAAUUACCUCCUUCAUCAGAAACGAGUACCAAUUUGAUAUCUACCACGAACACAGCUGAAGAAUCUCCCUCCACUCUAUUGACAGCAGAUGAAGUAAAACAAGAGAAAACCGGACCUGAUAUAAAAAACCAGUUUAUGGAAGUAGAAUCAGAGUUAGAGAAAAUGUUUGCCGGUAUAGUAGAAUCGGCGGAUGAAUCUAAACUCCCAUCAAAGCCCGAGAUGAAAAAGAAGGCUGGCAGGCCUACAAAACCACGACAGCGCAAGUCCACAGAUUCAGUUGGAGAAAAAAAAGAGAAAAAAAGAAAAAAUAAGAAAGUAGAUGAAGGAAGGGAUAGCAAGGUUAAAAAAGCCAAACACGUUAAAAUUACAAAAGAAGGCUCUAAUGACAGUAUGACUGUAUUAAGUAAAUCUCGAGGUCCGUACAUACAUAUCGAAGGUACUAAAGAGGCUCCGACGUAUGUUGGGGUUGUAAAUAGUUGGGGCAGAGAGGAGGAAGAAAGGGAGCGAGGCUCAGACAAAACUGGGGGGCGAAGGAAGCCACAUUCUUUUGCUGAAGGGCGAAUCAAAGGCAGUGGUCUGUAUGUCAGUACAUUGUCAGCGAAGUACAAUUCACAGAGUGCAGAUUUGACAUGGGUCUGUAUAUUUUGUAAACUUCGAUCACACUGUGAAAAUGGCCUAGGAGGUGAACCUUCGGGUGACCUGUACGGCCCUUACAUUCUGACAAUACCAAAAGCAGAGGAUUUAGAUAGGAAAGUUCCUAGUGACAAAGAAGUUGCUGCAGAACAGAAGAAAAAAGGUGGAGGUAUACAGCAAAGCCUUCGGGCUGUUGGCACUGCUGACCUAUUUGUUAAAGAAUUCACAAAAAAGAAUAAAAAAAAUAAUUCGCUAAUUGAGGAUCUUAGUGGUGAAAGAGAGGUUUGGGUGCAUGAGAUGUGUGCAGUAUGGGCUCCAGGAGUGCUUUUAGUCGGACCUCACUUAAUAGGCUUAGGCGAUGCCAUAGCGUCCGCAUCUGUAUCGAAAUGUACAAGAUGUGGUGAAUACGGCGCUUGUAUCGGCUGUGUCGUAAGAAAUUGUUCCGGGAGAAGUCAUUACGGUUGCGCACUCGCUGCAAACUGGGACCUAGACUUUGACAAUUUUAUAGCUACAUGCCCUGUCCAUACCCAAAAGACAGAGAGGUUCUUAAUGAAAAUGUAUAUAUAAUUUUGAGUCGUUACAAAUUAUAUCAAUCAAUGCCUUCUCACACUUCAAAAUUGAACGUGGAAUUUGCGGCUGAAACUACUUGGAGUGAGGAGUGCAUAAUACUAAUUAGAAUAUAUAUUAAAGAAAAAGACAGAUGGAUGUAUUACACUAAGUACCUCAGAUUUUAUUUUAUUAAUGACAACAAAACUCCAAGUUUUCUUGUAAAUAAUUCCCUCCCUAAAUUUUAGUAAUUAUAUUUAACAAUGUCUUUUCAAUCGUUUUAAUAAAACAGUUAGUCCAGGAUCGAGGUAUCUUGUAAAAACCUUGAAGAACAUUUAAUUUUGAUGUUAAAUGAUUCAAUUCGAAGCUGUAUCAGUUUUAAUAAGAUUAUCAGACCUGAUAUAAAACGCUUAAUCUUGGAAGUGAUGCACAUUUUUUUAAAUCUUCAAUUAUUUUAAUAAUUUUCUUAACAUCACAAUGUGAAAAUAACGGUAUUAUUAUUUUCUUGUGUGAUGAUGGUUAGGUGUUAUACAUAUGAAUGAUAUAUCUAAGUAUGUGAUAGAGGGUCACUUUUUUCAAAAGGGCUGUGUAAUUAUUCUCAAU